UACGUAGGGCGCAAGCGUUGUCCGGAAUUAUUGGGCGUAAAGAGCUCGUAGGCGGUUUGUCGCGUCUGUCGUGAAAGCUUGGGGCUUAACCCUGAGCCUGCUUCCGAUACGGGCAGACUAGAGGUAUGCAGGGGAGAACGGAAUUCCUGGUGUAGCGGUGAAAUGCGCAGAUAUCAGGAGGAACACCGGUGGCGAAGGCGGUUCUCUGGGCAUUACCUGACGCUGAGGAGCGAAAGUGUGGGGAGCGAACAGG
RNAcentral lists this ribosomal RNA (253 nucleotides) under uncultured bacterium. Its description in RNAcentral is "partial 16S ribosomal RNA". It matches the Rfam family "Bacterial small subunit ribosomal RNA", at positions 524 to 776 of the family's 1533-position model. The record is from RNAcentral.